RNAcentral lists this ribosomal RNA (274 nucleotides) under uncultured bacterium. RNAcentral describes it as "partial 16S ribosomal RNA". It matches the Rfam family "Bacterial small subunit ribosomal RNA", at positions 523 to 796 of the family's 1533-position model. The record is from RNAcentral.
AUACGGGGGGUGCAAGCGUUAAUCGGAAUUACUGGGCGUAAAGCGCGCGUAGGCGGUUUGCUUAGUCGGAUGUGAAAGCCCAGGGCUCAACCUUGGAACUGCAUACGAUACUGGCAAACUAGAGUGUGAGAGAGGAUAGUGGAAUUUCCGGUGUAGCGGUGAAAUGCGUAGAUAUCGGAAGGAACAUCAGUGGCGAAGGCGACUGUCUGGCUCAACACUGACGCUGAGGUGCGAAAGCGUGGGUAGCAAACAGGAUUAGAAACCCCAGUAGUCC